RNAcentral lists this ribosomal RNA (428 nucleotides) under uncultured bacterium. RNAcentral describes it as "partial 16S ribosomal RNA". It matches the Rfam family "Bacterial small subunit ribosomal RNA", at positions 338 to 795 of the family's 1533-position model. The record is from RNAcentral.
CCUACGGGUGGCUGCAGUCGAGGAUCUUCGGCAAUGGGGGCAACCCUGACCGAGCGAUGCCGCGUGAGCGAUGAAGGCCUUCGGGUUGUAAAGCUCGAAAGUGGGGAGAAUCUAUCCACAGUAAGCUCGGGCUAAGUUCGUGCCAGCAGCCGCGGUAAGACGAACCGAGCGAACGUUGUUCGGAAUCACUGGGCUUAAAGGGCGCGUAGGCGGGCUGUCAAGUCUGGGGUGAAAUCCCGCGGCUCAACCGCGGAACUGCCUCAGAUACUGACGGCCUCGAGGGGGAUAGGGGCGAGCGGAACUAAUGGUGGAGCGGUGAAAUGCGUUGAUAUCAUUAGGAACUCCGGUGGCGAAGGCGGCUCGCUGGUCCUUCUGACGCUGAGGCGCGAAAGCCAGGGGAGCAAACGGGAUUAGAUACCCUUGUAGUC